UUCUUUGUAGAAAAUCCGGUGUUAAAGAUGGAAAAAGGAACAGGAUGAACCCAGGAAAAAUACCCCCUCCGAACAGCUGGUCAUAAACCUUUUGGGGCUAAUAGUGACUUCCUGUGACCUGGCAGUGAAAUCCCAGGUUUUUUCUCAUACAAAUUCCAACACGUGCAAAGAUCAGUUUGCUUUGGAUUUAACAGCCCCUGCGUUGACCAGAGCCUGAACCAGCUGCUUUGAAGAGAUCUUGGGACUGAGGUGAGGCAUUUCUAAGGCAGCUGAUAACAGAGGAAAGAGCAGAUCAUGGUACCAAAUCCUGACCCAGAGCUGAGCAGGGCUCAAGGAGUGUGGAGAAACAGAUGGAGCUCUGCAAACUAUCAGCAUGCUGGAUUUUAUGGCACAUUUCUAGAGCUGAGGGACAACUGUCUGGGAAUUUCCAGCAUGCAGGUGGUAAAAUACUGACUGCCAUGAACUUCAUCAGGAAAAAAAAAGUAUAAAAGAGGAAAAAAGCAGUGGUUUGGAAGCAGCUGGAUGGCAAACUGCAGGCUGGGAAUGUGUCUGCCAAAACCACCACAAGGAGAGUGGGGCAUAAAGGCAUUUGUGGAGCAUUCUGUUUGCUAAUUGCUCAUGGAAUUUCAGGUUGAAAGAGAAGAAUGGAAUCUACCAGGUGGCUGCAUUUUGAAAAACAGCAUGGCAGGCUCUGCUCAGACUGCUUUGGAGCUCUACCCUCUCUCCUCCUCUGUGGUGUCUCAGGUGAAGAGGAGGCUUUGACAUGGGCACAGGGGGCCACUCUGAAGGUACUUUUCUAGCAAUGAACUUCAUCCAAAGACACUGAAGGUAGGUUAUAUUUCCAACAACAGGUACAGAGAAAGUGGCAGGAACAUGGAACUUCCUCUGAUACCUGCUCUGCUACAACUAAAGCUUGAAUAAAGCCAUUUCCAGCUGGAUUUUCCCCAAGAUGUUAAUAUUGUGCUGGGUUUAAUGCUGACUGAAGCAAGGUAGCAAGCAGUUAUUGCAGGCCUGACAUGCCUGUUCUGCCAGGGAACAGCGUGAGCUUUCAACUCAGAAAACAAGGUGAACUUUGUUGGGUCAUCAAUCUGCUUUUGCCUGCCUUGGCCAGGCCUUGUCCUCCUGGCCCAUUUUGCAGCAGUCCUAUGUAUGGGAGAAGUACAACUGUGGGGCGCCUGAUGAAAAGAGAUAGUUGAACAACUGGCCUUCAUCUCUGUCACCUUUUUUUGGUGCUGGCACAAAAAAAACCACACACACACAAAAAAAAAAACCAAACAAACAAAAAACCAAAACAAACAAACAAACAAACAAAAACACCAAAAAAAAAAGACAAAAUAUCCAAGGCAAAGAUAGUUUAUGUACAGCUCAGGAAGCUCACAGCAAUGAGUGUGUCUGUGAUUUAAUAACACAUCUACCCAAAAUGACACUUCUUCUAAUACUCACUGAGAAAAAGAAAGCAGAGCAGCACACAAGGCACUGCUAUUGCAGCAACAAGCAGCCAAACUAGCAGGUAUUUAUUUUUCAAUAUACACAAUUACUGGGGGAGAAUAAAAAUUAUUCUUUGACACUCUGACAGAGCUGUAAAAAGCCCUGUGCUUCCCCUACUCCCAUGGUCCUGACAAGAAACACCUCACAAAUUCUAAUAAAUAGAGAAUAGAAAUAAAUACUUUAACUACACAGCAUCAGGUUUCAAAUGGCUUCCUGAAUCAGAAAGUGCAGCUAGUCCAUUUUCCUUAUUUCCACACUCAGUAAUGGUGGCUCUCCAAAAGUCAAAGUGAGAUGGAUACUACAAGGAUCACAGACACUACACUGGGAAACCAAGUAUCAGUGGGUACGUCCAGAUUUAUGGUAGGUGAUGGCAGUAAAGUGAAAGUAAAACUGUUUGCACAGUCUGUAUUGUUGGCCAUUACUGUGUAUUUGCCCUUUUUUCUUGCUUAGCUGCAGCUGGAAGAAUGGAAAAUUGUACCUUCUAUACAGUAUUAGAAGACACUUUCUGAUCGUAAGGUCAAUCAGACUGGUUUAGCUGCUUGAGGUAUUUAUGGCACCAUCACUCAGUGUCUUUAAGGAAAGGUUAGAUACAUUUACGGGAAAGGUAUUUUGCAGAAGCUUUCCUGCUUCAUAGAGGUCUUGGACAAAAUGACCCAGGAGGCCCCUUCCAAGUCUAUCAAGUGUGGUUCCCUGAUUGAUGCUGUUUUCCCCCAAAGUCUUUUCAAAACACAAAGCACUGUUAUAAAAUUUAAUAUGAUACACUAUAUAACUUUAACACAAUGCCAUUUUCUUAAAGGAAAUGGUUAGCUGGUAGUACAGGAGCCUCGCACAAGAGGAAAAAAGGUAAGAAAAAAAGAAAUUGCAGUGCAGUUUCUCUGCUGAGGGAUAUCGACUAUAACAUUUACUCUGUGUCUGAGCAUGGACUCUUAGCUGUGCAGGGGGACACCAAGCCAGGAAAGGAUAUAAGGAACCCAGGCUGUGGAAUUUAUUUCUCCAGAAAAGCCUGACAAGGCCUGAGGUAAUUUUCUAUGCUGUGCAAUAAUCAUUUCCCUCAAUGCUGGGAAGCAAAUGGACACCCAGCUCUCCUUGUAAAUCACUGCCUGGUGCUGUAUCAGCUGGGCCCGGGGCAGAGCUGCCUGGGGACCAGGAGAGUCCCAGCCCUCCUGCACAGGCACAGGCACAGGGCCGGUGCUCAGGUGUGUCCUGCACCACCUGCACCAGCAAGAAGAGCCCGUCUGUAACUCACGGCUCUGGCCUGGCCUGCUGCUAUCCCAGCUGCGCCAUGGAGCAGGCGGAGCAAAUCCCUGAAAAUGGCGAGCGACAAAAACUGCACUUCAGAAAAAGGGCAGCAGCACCCCUGGUAACGUGUUUGUCUGAUGACUAAAGACUGAGCAAGAGAGCUUGGGCCACAUUUCCCUUGUCUGAAUACAAGAUUGAUUGUCAGGCAGAAUCCUCUCCAGGUCUUCUGUGUUUCCGCCAAACCAUUCAGUAAAACUAUAAUAUUCUUCUCCCUACUAUACUUACCUGUUUUGCUUUGGUUUGUUUUAAUUUGCUGAAUGUUUCCUAUAUUGACUUUUAUUUUUCCUUUGAAACAGUUAACAUUUAAAAAUUAAAGUAAUGUAAUUAUUUAAAAAAAAACAACCAACAAGAAAAACCCAACCAGAUCCUCUGGACCAUCUGGUUGAAAUGCUCUGGUCAGCCUCCACUGCUCUCUAGUCAGUUUUAAUUUUAGAUUUUCAUAGGGAAAAAAAGAAGGAAAAAACCCCAGAAUUUUAUUGAAUUGGAGUUUACUCUCAAAAUCAUUUUAUACUAGCCUUUUUAUUUUCACUCCAACUAAUUUAGUUAAAGGCCAAACUCUUCUUCCAAAAAUCAGCUCCCAGCCUCCAUCUUCUUGGGAUAGCCUUAACAGGAAAUCUCAACAUCCAUAUACAGCCUUUUGAAGUCUCACAAAUGUGAGCUGUUCCCUUUUGCAGAGCAGGCUGGGAUUAACUCUUUUAUUAACCUUAUAACCUCAUCCAUGAGAAAAAAAUAAUAGCCAAUCCCUUUUAUUUUAUUUAUUUUAAAAUCUGGAUGCAUGCUACCUUCUCUACCCAAACAUUUGUGAGCUCACUCUACAGAGAGGAGCAAAAAAAGCCCAUGGAAAGCCCCCUCUCCCUGUGGAGCUCCCCAAAGACCCUCUUGCCCCUCCCAUUAUGUUGCACUCAGUGUCAAAGUUUGUGUUUUCACUGGAAGAUAUUUUUGCUUUACAGGAGGGCUGUGUCUCUCUGUAUUGGUGGGAGCAAAUAACAACCUUUUGGUCCUUUUCAACACAUUACAUCAAUGCAUUUUCCUGAUUCCCAUGACAAAAAAGCAUCUUUUAGCAGAAUGAAAAAUCUGACCUGGGUGUAAUCCUGACAGCGCUCCAAUUGCUCAUCCUUAGCUUCAUCCCUGCACUGCAGUGCAGAGUAAGAGGCUCACACUGGAAUAGCUCUUCUCACCAGAGUCAAAAUGGUAAAAAUUUGCUCAGAAAGUGACACGAGCAGGAAUUUCAAAGGAAAAUUUAUCUCCUGCUCUUUGUCUUACACUAUGGUGCACUGUGGUGGCUGGAAGAUUUAACUUCCAAGCAUCCCAUCUAUAUAAAUCCUACUGGAAAACAACUAUUUUUUAGGGUGUUUAGCUCAGCAGCUGGAAUCUGCCAGGGAAUGAUUGCCAAGAUAAGGAUGGAGAAAAACUUUUCUGUAGCCUUCAGGUGUUGGUUGAGGGUCAGGAUUAGGGAAUAGCCAAAGCUGAGAGCUUUGGCUCUCAGAGCUCUGUGUGUUGCACAAGGUCAUGGCUCACUGGUGUAAGGACCAGGGGUUUGGGCCAGUCCUGCCUCUGCCCUGCUCAGCUCAGCCCAUUAACUCCUCUGGUGAUACAGCUCCUCUUGGGCUUUCUGCUUUUCAAAGAUUUACACUUGGUUUAAAUCUCAAUCAAAAGCUCCACUUGAUAUUUUGGGAGGCCAAGACACUUAAAAAUCUCCAAUGAGAAGGGCAAGUGAGGAAGGCAGAAUAUCUCUCCCUUGCAAAGGCAUUCAAAUACCACUUGGAUGAGGAGUUUCCAUCUCCUUUGCUGGAUAAACAGACACAUCACAGUUCUAAUGUGCAGGAGUGCCCUUCACACCAACAGGCAGAGAAAAGAUGCAGUGGGAAGAGUAAGAGGCACCAGAAUAAAAAAAAAGGCAGGAUCCAACUGAAUUUUUACCUUUGAUCUUUGAAAAUGGGAAAACCCAUUCGGGAUCAGGAAUUUCCAGACUGGGCUGUAUGCACCAUUAAUUGUUCCAUGAAGCAGAGCUGGUCUGCUAUUGUUGCAUCUUCCAAAAACAGCUGUUACUAUGAGCUCUAUGGGAUUCAGGAACUCCACUUCCCAGUUUUCACUUAGUACUUCAGUGAUCAUAUAUAAAUAAUAGUAAUGAUAAUCAUAACAAUACCGGGCUUGCCAUUAUGUUGUACUCAGUCUUUGUGAUGCUCUCUCACAAUAAAAUCUGUGUAUUAAACACUUUAACUGAAACUCUUAAUAAAACAGUGAUAUUUUUACUUGUGCUGUUAUAUUCACAUAAUGACCACAAAGCACUUUACGGAAUCAAAUGGAAGUAGCCAGUCUGAUCCUUCUAUAGAGGAUUUUGUGCAUCUCAGCAGUGCGUAACAAAGCUGCUGUAUAGACAAGUAACUGUCAAACAUACCACGUUUUGGGGUUUGUCCUGGCUGAGCAGCAUCCAAAAGCCUGGGGUUUGUCCUUCAGAUUGGUGUGAAAGUCUGUAAAGCCACCACAAAUUACACAACAAGAGGGACUGGAUGGUGUCACCGACUAGACAAGAACAAGCUGUGAUGUCUCAUUAUCAAGGUCCCUGGGUCAGAAAGAAGAAAAAAAAGGUUAUAAUUUUCCUGGUUUAGGAAAAAAGCCAUGGAAGUCUUGGAGCUGAGUACUGAGCAGCCUCCAUGGGGUCACUGCAAGGGGACAAGGCAAAGGCUGGCCCUGCAAAUGCUCAUGGUAAAUGGUGCCUUCCAAGGUUUGAGAGGGUCUCCAGCUUCGAGCCUAGUACCAGGUACUUCUGGAGCUGUGAGACAGUGAAGGGCUUUGUUCCCUCGUGUAUAAUUGAUAAAUUACCAUUGUGAGUACUAAACAAUACAACUGAGCACAGAAUGGAAACACGCUAAUGCUUUAUCCAGCUCCAGCAAUUCUGCUCGUGUGCUCACACUGUUCUUAAAUGUGCUGUUUGAUGAAACAAUAAGUUUUAGAAAAGAGAAAAAUAAGAACUUCAAAGAUAAUAAAAACCUUGACUACAUACUUUACCACAGGAA
Molecule: non-coding RNA, 5804 nt
Organism: Lonchura striata (white-rumped munia)
Lineage: Eukaryota; Metazoa; Chordata; Aves; Passeriformes; Estrildidae
Source: RefSeq, a predicted model, not a curated record